CCAAGUCCGAGUCGUCGCCUCCCACUACAUCUCGCUCCCCUUCUCCGCCACCGCCGCCGCCAAAGUCCGAGUCGUCGCCUUCCGCCACAUCUCACCCACCUCCUCCUCCGCCACCUGGGUCCGAGUCGUCACCUUCCCCGACACCUCAUCCCCCUACUCCGCCACCACCGGAGUCCCAGUCGUCGCCAUCCACGAAAACCCACCCCCCUCCGUCCCAUUCGCCACGUCUGCUGCCUCCUUACUCCCCCGAACCAUCGCCACCGAGUU
Molecule: long non-coding RNA, 267 nt
Filed under: Elaeis guineensis (African oil palm)
Lineage: Eukaryota; Viridiplantae; Streptophyta; Magnoliopsida; Arecales; Arecaceae
Description: long non-coding RNA (EGUI_LNC017818)
Source: RNAcentral